CGCCUCCCGUCCGCCGCCACUCAAGACUCCGUACGGGGCAGGCAGUGGGGAAUAUUGGGACAAUGGGCGCAAGCCUGAUCCAGCCAUGCCGCGUGAGUGAGUGACGGCCUUAGGGUUGUAAAGCUCUUUCGCUAGGGACGAUAAUGACGGUACCUAGACAAGAAGCCCCGGCUAACUUCGUGCCAGCCGCCGCGGUAAUUC
RNAcentral lists this ribosomal RNA (201 nucleotides) under uncultured bacterium. Its description in RNAcentral is "partial 16S ribosomal RNA". It matches the Rfam family "Bacterial small subunit ribosomal RNA", at positions 306 to 526 of the family's 1533-position model. The record is from RNAcentral.